RNAcentral lists this ribosomal RNA (253 nucleotides) under uncultured bacterium. RNAcentral describes it as "partial 16S ribosomal RNA". It matches the Rfam family "Bacterial small subunit ribosomal RNA", at positions 524 to 776 of the family's 1533-position model. The record is from RNAcentral.
UACGUAGGCAGCGAGCGUUGUUCGGAGUUACUGGGCGUAAAGAGUGCGUAGGCGGUUGGCUAAGUUUGGUGUGAAAUCUCCCGGCUCAACUGGGAGGGUGCGCCGAAAACUGGCUGGCUAGAGUGUGGCAGAGGGAGGUGGAAUUCCACGUGUAGCAGUGAAAUGCGUAGAGAUGUGGAGGAACACCGAUGGCGAAGGCAGCCUCCUGGGCCAGCACUGACGCUCAUGCACGAAAGCGUGGGGAGCAAACAGG